This 465-nucleotide ribosomal RNA is filed under the name Vreelandella stevensii. RNAcentral's name for it is "partial 16S ribosomal RNA". It matches the Rfam family "Bacterial small subunit ribosomal RNA", at positions 338 to 795 of the family's 1533-position model. The record is from RNAcentral. Lineage: Bacteria; Pseudomonadati; Pseudomonadota; Gammaproteobacteria; Oceanospirillales; Halomonadaceae.
CCUACGGGCGGCAGCAGUGGGGAAUAUUGGACAAUGGGGGGAACCCAGAUCCAGCCAUGCCGCGUGUGUGAAGAAGGCCCUCGGGUUGUAAAGCACUUUCAGUGAGGAAGAACGCCUGGUGGUUAAUACCCAUCAGGAAAGACAUCACUCACAGAAGAAGCACCGGCUAACUCCGUGCCAGCAGCCGCGGUAAUACGGAGGGUGCGAGCGUUAAUCGGAAUUACUGGGCGUAAAGCGCGCGUAGGUGGCUUGAUAAGCCGGUUGUGAAAGCCCCGGGCUCAACCUGGGAACGGCAUCCGGAACUGUCAAGCUAGAGUGCAGGAGAGGAAGGUAGAAUUCCCGGUGUAGCGGUGAAAUGCGUAGAGAUCGGGAGGAAUACCAGUGGCGAAGGCGGCCUUCUGGACUGACACUGACACUGAGGUGCGAAAGCGUGGGUAGCAAACAGGAUUAGAUACCCUAGUAGUC